Molecule: long non-coding RNA, 672 nt
Filed under: Pan troglodytes (chimpanzee)
Lineage: Eukaryota; Metazoa; Chordata; Mammalia; Primates; Hominidae
Description: long non-coding RNA NONPTRT007500
Source: RNAcentral
CUUAAUUUUGUAUUAGUUAGCAAAUACUGACCCCUACUAUGUGCAAUGGCAUUCUGCCAAAGCAUGAUUCACUUCUGAAUCCAUAUGAAUUUAGAAGUGAAGGCAUUCUUAAAAUUCCUCCAAAAUAUAAAGAUGCUUCUCAGUUAACACUGUCCUGAAAAGCAUCCACUACAUAUACGGUUUUAAGAAAUAAAAUUGAGAUUCAUAGUCAUUUGGGAAAGUAAACUGGUUGUCAACUAUCACAUCACAAUGUCUGUAUUUUAAUACUGUUGGUUGCAAGACUUACCUUUAAAUAGAUAAUCAUGAAAAAAUUAAGCAACAUUCCCAUCUCAUUUUCUUUUGAAUGUAAUGAUUGAAUGAAAAGGGCAUAACUGAUGUGAAAGUGAGAAAGCUAAAUGUAUGAAUUUAUUUUAAUUAAAUUAAUAUCGAUCGACAGCACAGAGGAGUGGAUGGAGGACAAUAACUAAGAUAACAUGACUGCUGCUUUUGUUUUGUGAUGUAGGCCCACGGGAAGUCAGAAGCAGCUGAGAUCUGGGGACCUCAACAAAGUGCAGGCUCCGGUACCACAAAUCAAGUUUUAGAAGUAUGGGGGUUUUCAAUAGCAUGUUGCUACUGCUUGCUGAGUUCACAUGACUGUUGCUAGAUUGUGAGAGAGUAGUUUUAGCAGAGAGU